Molecule: ribosomal RNA, 253 nt
Filed under: uncultured bacterium
Lineage: Bacteria
Description: partial 16S ribosomal RNA
Rfam family: Bacterial small subunit ribosomal RNA
Source: RNAcentral
CGUAGGGUGCAAGCGUUGUCCGGAAUUAUUGGGCGUAAAGAGCUCGUAGGCGGUCUGUCGCGUCUGCUGUGAAAACUCAGGGCUCAACCCUGGGCGUGCAGUGGGUACGGGCAGACUGGAGUGCAGUAGGGGAGACUGGAAUUCCUGGUGUAGCGGUGAAAUGCGCAGAUAUCAGGAGGAACACCGGUGGCGAAGGCGGGUCUCUGGGCUGUUACUGACGCUGAGGAGCGAAAGCGUGGGAGCGAACAGGAUU